GUGUCAGCAGCCGCGGUAAUACGGAGGGUGCAAGCGUUGUUCGGAAUUAUUGGGCGUAAAGCGCGUGUAGGCGGUUGGGUAAGUCAGAUGUGAAAGCCUUCCGCUCAACGGAAGAAGUGCAUUUGAAACUGCUCGGCUAGAGUACGGGAGAGGAGAGUGGAAUUCCCGGUGUAGAGGUGAAAUUCGUAGAUAUCGGGAGGAACACCAGUGGCGAAGGCGGCUCUCUGGUCCGAUACUGACGCUGAGACGCGAAAGCGUGGGGAGCAAACAGGAUUAGAUACCCUGGUAGUCCACGCCGUAAACGAUGGGCACUAGGUGUAGGAGGUAUUGACCCCUCCUGUGCCGAAGUUAACGCAUUAAGUGCCCCGCCUGGGGAGUACGGCCGCAAGGCUAAAACUCAAAUGAAUUGACGGGG
RNAcentral lists this ribosomal RNA (415 nucleotides) under uncultured prokaryote. RNAcentral describes it as "bacterial SSU rRNA". It matches the Rfam family "Bacterial small subunit ribosomal RNA", at positions 505 to 918 of the family's 1533-position model. The record is from RNAcentral.